Molecule: ribosomal RNA, 454 nt
Filed under: uncultured bacterium
Lineage: Bacteria
Description: bacterial SSU rRNA
Rfam family: Bacterial small subunit ribosomal RNA
Source: RNAcentral
UACGGAAGGCAGCAGUGGGGAAUAUUGCACAAUGGGCGCAAGCCUGAUGCAGCCAUGCCGCGUGUAAUGAAAAAGGCCUUCGGGUUGUAAAGUACUUUCAGUCGUGAGGAAGGUGUUAAGGUUAAUAACCUUAGCAAUUGACGUUAGCGACAGAAGAAGCACCGGCUAACUCCGUGCCAGCAGCCGCGGUAAUACGGAGGGUGCGAGCGUUAAUCGGAAUUACUGGGCGUAAAGGGCACGCAGGCGGUUAAUUAAGUUGGAUGUGAAAUCCCCGGGCUUAACCUGGGAAUGGCAUUCAAGACUGGUUAGCUAGAGUCUUGUAGAGGGGGUAGAAUUCCAUGUGUAGCGGUGAAAUGCGUAGAGAUGUGGAGGAAUACCGGUGGCGAAGGCGGCCCCUGGACAAAGACUGACGCUCAUGUGCGAAAGCGUGGGGAGCAAACAGGGAUUAGAUACC